GUAAAGGGCGCGUAGGCGGGAAGAAAAGUCAGAUGUGAAAUCCUGGAGCUCAACUUCAGAACAGCAUUUGAAACUCUCUUUCUAGAGGGUAGGCGGAGAAAACGGAAUUCCACAAGUUAGCGGUGAAAUGCGUAUGAUAUGUGGAAGAACACCGGUGGCGAAGGCGGUUUUCUAGCUUAUUCCUGACGCUGAGGCGCGAGAGCAAUGGGAUCAAACAGGAUUAGAUACCCUGGUAGUCCUUGCCGUAAACUAUGUAUACUUGGUGUAACUGGACUCAACCCCGGUUGUGCCGUAGCUAACGCGAUAAGUAUACCGCCUGGGGAGUACGCUCGCAAGGGUGAAACUCAAAAGAAUUGACGGGGACCCGCACAAGCAGUGGAGCAUGUGGUUUAAUUCGAUGCAACGCGAAGAACCUUACCCAGACUUGACAUACAGUGGAAGUUAGCAGAAAUGUUAACGCCCUUCGGGGCUGCUGAACAGGUGCUGCAUGGCUGUCGUCAGCUCGUGCCGUGAGGUGUUGGGUUAAGUCCCGCAACGAGCGCAACCCUUAUCGUUAGUUGCCAACAGGUAAAGCUGGGAACUCUAGCGAGACUGCCUGGGUUAAACCAGGAGGAAGGUGAGGAUGACGUCAAGUCAGCAUGGCCCUUAUGUCUGGGGCUACACACGUGCUACAAUGGCCGGUACAAAAGGCAGCGAAACCGCGAGGUGAAGCAAAUCCCAAAAGCCGGCCCCAGUUCAGAUUGUAGUCUGCAACUCGACUACAUGAAGACGGAA
Molecule: ribosomal RNA, 774 nt
Filed under: uncultured Parachlamydia sp.
Lineage: Bacteria; Pseudomonadati; Chlamydiota; Chlamydiia; Parachlamydiales; Parachlamydiaceae
Description: bacterial SSU rRNA
Rfam family: Bacterial small subunit ribosomal RNA
Source: RNAcentral